UACGCCGUGUACCAUGCAGUCGAGCGGAUGAGAGGAGCUUGCUCUUCGAUUCAGCGGCGGACGGGUGAGUAAUGCCUAGGAAUCUGCCUAGUAGUGGGGGACAACGUUUCGAAAGGAACGCUAAUACCGCAUACGUCCUACGGGAGAAAGUGGGGGAUCUUCGGACCUCACGCUAUUAGAUGAGCCUAGGUCGGAUUAGCUAGUUGGUAGGGUAAAGGCCUACCAAGGCGACGAUCCGUAACUGGUCUGAGAGGAUGAUCAGUCACACUGGAACUGAGACACGGUCCAGACUCCUACGGGAGGCAGCAGUGGGGAAUAUUGGACAAUGGGCGAAAGCCUGAUCCAGCCAUGCCGCGUGUGUGAAGAAGGCCUUCGGGUCGUAAAGCACUUUAAGUUGGGAGGAAGGGCUCAUAGCGAAUACCUGUGAGUUUUGACGUUACCAACAGAAUAAGCACCGGCUAACUUCGUGCCAGCAGCCGCGGUAAUACGAAGGGUGCAAGCGUUAAUCGGAAUUACUGGGCGUAAAGCGCGCGUAGGUGGCUUGAUAAGUUGGAUGUGAAAUCCCCGGGCUCAACCUGGGAACUGCAUCCAAAACUGUCUGGCUAGAGUGCGGUAGAGGGUAGUGGAAUUUCCAGUGUAGCGGUGAAAUGCGUAGAUAUUGGAAGGAACACCAGUGGCGAAGGCGACUACCUGGACUGACACUGACACUGAGGUGCGAAAGCGUGGGGAGCAAACAGGAUUAGAUACC
Molecule: ribosomal RNA, 748 nt
Filed under: Pseudomonas oryzihabitans
Lineage: Bacteria; Pseudomonadati; Pseudomonadota; Gammaproteobacteria; Pseudomonadales; Pseudomonadaceae
Description: bacterial SSU rRNA
Rfam family: Bacterial small subunit ribosomal RNA
Source: RNAcentral